UGGAGACAGGCGGCUCAUUCUGGCGCCCGACGCAUCUGAUUGGCUGUUCAGCAGCGCGUCUGUGAUUGGUUCACUUCGCCUCCCAUCUCUCUCUAGCUCUCGAUGACGUCAUUUGUAAACAAAACCUGGCGGGAACGGCGCGGGAUAUCAUAGCAGAGACUGCUCAACAUAGACUCAUUCAUUUCCCGGCUAAUAUCAUUGUCUCCUUAGACAUUUACAUUACUCCACAUAGUGUGAUGCAGUGCCUACACGUUCUACAGUAGUAAUACCACCGCGGCACCGCCACAACGGUAGAGAGGGAUGACCUGAUGCCGCUAUCCCGACAUGGUAUACCUCCACCACAGCCUGUAACAGUGGCUGUUCAUCUUCACCCACACCUGAUCCACAUUAGCUGACCUGUUGGAUGGUUCUACUGCUCCCAGCCUGGCUUCCAAAGCAGUCAACCUUACCAGGACCUUCUUACAAAGUCCAGCCAUCUACAACAAAGGUCCACAUGUAACCUGAAGCUGUACCCGCUUACUCCAUCUUUGGGCUCUAGAGGCUGUGGUGUCACAGCCUGCACAGCCACACCAAAACUCCAAGAAGAAGAAGAACAUUGACUUAACAAUGGCAGGACUGGAUAAUCACAGUCAAAGUAGUACUGUUAUGAAUCCUCACGCUCAUGUAUUCGUGAAGUGUAAUUUCUGCAACAAAGACUUCACCAAAGACUGGAGCAGGAAAAGACAUGAAAAGAAAGUUCAUGGUGUAAACACCACAGACAACUAUGAAGUGGCAGAGAUAACAGUUCCUGAUGCUUCAAAAGUGUGCACUUACUGCGAUAAAGUUUUUUCCACCUCCUGUAACAAACGAGCUCAUGAACGUCGACAGCAUGGUGUGAACCCUGGCCCUGUAUCCCAUUCAGAUGGCCCAACUAUUGUGCAAUGUACAGAAUGCAAUGUGACUUUUGCUACCCUUACUGCUUACAGGGAACACCUUUCUUUAGUCCAUGACAUUGAGAUUCACAAAGCUCAGCAUGAGUUUACUUCUGAGGAAGAUUUCUUGAGAUGGAAAGACUGUAUGGAACUGGACAUU
Eriocheir sinensis (Chinese mitten crab) is the source of this 1071-nucleotide long non-coding RNA. RefSeq lists it as uncharacterized. The record is from RefSeq and is a predicted model, not a curated record. The transcript has 3 exons. Lineage: Eukaryota; Metazoa; Arthropoda; Malacostraca; Decapoda; Varunidae.